UACGGAGGGCGCAAGCGUUUUUCGGAAUCAUUGGGCGUAAAGCGCGUGUAGGCGGUCUGGUCAGUCGGGUGUGAAAUACCGGUGCUCAACUCCGGAACUGCAUUCGAUACUGCCAGGCUAGAGUCCCGGGGAAGGUGGUGGAAUUCCCGGUGGAGAGGUGAAAUUAGUAGAUAACGGGAGGAACACCAGCGGCGAAGGCGGCCAACUGGGCGGUGACUGACGCUGAGGCGCGAAAGCGUGGGGAGCAAACAGG
This 253-nucleotide ribosomal RNA is filed under the name uncultured bacterium. RNAcentral's name for it is "partial 16S ribosomal RNA". It matches the Rfam family "Bacterial small subunit ribosomal RNA", at positions 524 to 776 of the family's 1533-position model. The record is from RNAcentral.